This is a non-coding RNA of Caenorhabditis elegans, 150 nucleotides long. Lineage: Eukaryota; Metazoa; Nematoda; Chromadorea; Rhabditida; Rhabditidae. The record is from Ensembl.
GCGAGGAGCUUCCUUCUCGACAUGACUUGCAUAAUAAUAAUUUUCUUAUGUUUGUUUCAUUCAUUCAUUCAUAUGCAUACCGUUCUUCUUCAUUUUCGUCUCCCCCGUCUGCUGUUGCGCAGCGCGUGCUCACGUUUCAGUCAGCGUCUC